Molecule: ribosomal RNA, 468 nt
Filed under: uncultured bacterium
Lineage: Bacteria
Description: partial 16S ribosomal RNA
Rfam family: Bacterial small subunit ribosomal RNA
Source: RNAcentral
GACGAACGCUGGCGGCGUGCUUAACACAUGCAAGUCGAACGGAAAGGCCCUGCUUUUGUGGGGUGCUCGAGUGGCGAACGGGUGAGUAACACGUGAGUAACCUGCCCUUGACUUUGGGAUAACUUCAGGAAACUGGGGCUACUACCGGAUAGGAGCUCCUGCUGCAUGGUGGGGGUUGGAAAGUUUCGGCGGUUGGGGAUGGACUCGCGGCUUAUCAGCUUGUUGGUGGGGUAGUGGCUUACCAAGGCUUUGACGGGUAGCCGGCCUGAGAGGGUGACCGGCCACAUUGGGACUGAGAUACGGCCCAGACUCCUACGGGAGGCAGCAGUGGGGAAUAUUGCACAAUGGGCGGAAGCCUGAUGCAGCAACGCCGCGGGCGGGAUGACGGCCUUCGGGGUGUAAACCGCUUUCGCCUGUGACGAAGCGUGAGUGACGGUAAUGGGUAAAGAAGCACCGGCUAACUACGUG